CCUACGGGAGGCUGCAGUAGGGAAUCUUCCACAAUGGGCGAAAGCCUGAUGGAGCAACGCCGCGUGGGUGAAGAAGGUCUUCGGAUCGUAAAACCCUGUUGUGAGAGAAGAAAGUGCGUGAGAGUAACUGUUCACGUGUCGACGGUAUCUAACCAGAAAGCGACGGCUAACUACGUGCCAGCAGCCGCGGUAAUACGUAGGUGGCAAGCGUUAUCCGGAUUUAUUGGGCGUAAAGGGAACGCAGGCGGUCUUUUAAGUCUGAUGUGAAAGCCUUCGGCUUAACCGGAGUAGUGCAUUGGAAACUGGGAGACUUGAGUGCAGACGAGGAGAGUGGAACUCCAUGUGUAGCGGUGAAAUGCGUAGAUAUAUGGAAGAACCCCAGUGGCGAAAGCGGCUCUCUGGUCUGUAACUGACGCUGAGGUUCGAAAGCGUGGGUAGCAAACAGGAUUAGAUACCCGUGUAGUC
RNAcentral lists this ribosomal RNA (465 nucleotides) under uncultured bacterium. RNAcentral's name for it is "partial 16S ribosomal RNA". It matches the Rfam family "Bacterial small subunit ribosomal RNA", at positions 338 to 795 of the family's 1533-position model. The record is from RNAcentral.